RNAcentral lists this ribosomal RNA (433 nucleotides) under uncultured bacterium. Its description in RNAcentral is "partial 16S ribosomal RNA". It matches the Rfam family "Bacterial small subunit ribosomal RNA", at positions 29 to 507 of the family's 1533-position model. The record is from RNAcentral.
AGCGAACGCUGGCGGCAGGCCUAACACAUGCAAGUCGAACGAACUCUUCGGAGUUAGUGGCGGACGGGUGAGUAACACGUGGGAACGUGCCUUUUGGUUCGGAAUAACUCAGGGAAACUUGUGCUAAUACCGAAUGUGCCCUUCGGGGGAAAGAUUUAUCGCCAUUAGAGCGGCCCGCGUCUGCUUAGCUGGUUGGUGAGGUAACGGCUCGCCAAGGAGACGAUCAGUGGCUGGUCUGAGGGGAUGACCAGCCACACUGGAACUGAGACACGGACCAGACUCCUACGGGAGGGAGCAGUGGGGAAUCUUGCGCAAUGGGCGAAAGCCUAACGCAGCCAUGCCGCGUGAAUGAUGAAGGUCUUAGGAUUGUAAAAUUCUUUCACCGGGGACGAUAAUGACGGUACCCGGAGAAGAAGCCCCGGCUAACUUCGUG